This 84-nucleotide microRNA precursor is filed under the name Ornithorhynchus anatinus (platypus). Its description in RNAcentral is "mir-221 microRNA precursor family". It matches the Rfam family "mir-221 microRNA precursor family". The record is from Rfam by way of RNAcentral. Lineage: Eukaryota; Metazoa; Chordata; Mammalia; Monotremata; Ornithorhynchidae.
UGAGGCAUGAACCUGGCAUACAAUGUAGAAUUCUGUAUUUGUUAAGCAACAGCUACAUUGUCUGCUGGGUUUCAAGCUACCUGG